This 4935-nucleotide long non-coding RNA is filed under the name Citrus sinensis (sweet orange). RNAcentral's name for it is "long non-coding RNA (CSIN_LNC003815)". Lineage: Eukaryota; Viridiplantae; Streptophyta; Magnoliopsida; Sapindales; Rutaceae. The record is from RNAcentral.
UUCGUGUCUCUGGCGUGAUAAGCAAUUCUCCCUACAUAUUGGGGCUGGACUGUGAUAUGUACUGCAAUGAUCCAACUUCAGCUAGGCAAGCAAUGUGUUUCCACCUUGACCCAAAAAUCUCUUCGUCCUUAGCAUUCGUUCAGUUCCCUCAGAAAUUCCAUAAUAUCAAUAAGUAUGAUAUCUACGAUGGACGGUUUAGAUCUGCAUAUUGCGUAAGUAAAUUAAAGCCUAUCUACUAUCACCUUAUGCAGAUAAAUGAGCAAAUAUUAAACCACUAGAUGUAGCAAUUAUGUACAUAUAAGUUUUUGUUAUUUAUGCAUUCCACAAUCAAGGUACAAUGGCAAGGUAUGGAUGGGUUGAAGGGACCAGUCUUGUCUGGCACCGGCUAUUAUAUAAAGAGGGAGUCACUGUAUGCCGAUUUCACACAUACUGGUACCUUCAUUUGCCGACUUUCUUACAAAUUGAUGUUAAAAAUUUAAAAAUAAAUAGCAUUUCCACCCUUGAAGUCUUGUCUUUAUUGGAAAUCAUAAAAUUUUUAGCAUAAAACAUAGAAGUCAGCAAUCUAAAGUCCUAAAGAUGGUUGAAGAACACAGUUCAUUACUCGAUAGUAAUUUUUUAUUUUUUAUUUUUUUGGUUUAAUGAACAGUUAAUGACAUUUCAGAACUUAAAGACACUUUCGGAAAAUCCAAUGUGCUCAUCAAUUCUCUCCAUCAAAGCUACAAGCAAAACAAUGCCAAUGGUGAAAACUUUUCCAACGUUCUGCAAGAGGAGACUGGAGUUUUAGCCUCCUGCAGUUAUGAGCAUCAAACAAAAUGGGGUGAAGAGGCAAGCAUCAAGCAUAUCAACUUAUACAUAGUCAAACCUUAAUUGCAUUGCUAAAUCAUUAUCACAUAGCAUAACACAUUAUCUCUCCUUGCAUUUGAUAUCAGGUAGGCAUUUUGUAUCAAUCUGUUUCGGAAGAUUUAUUUACAGGAUUCAUUUUACACUGCAAAGGCUGGACCUCGACGUAUCUUACCCCAUUCAGGCCACAGUUUCUGGGUACUUCAACCACAAACUUGAAUGAUCUGCUGAUUCAAGGUACCAGAUGGGGCUCUGGGUUGACUGAUGUUGGUCUUUCGAGAUUCUGCCCUCUACUUUAUGGACCAUCAAGGAUGUCUUUACUUCAGAGCAUGUGCUAUGGAGAGCUAUCUUUCUUCCCUCUUCUUUAUUGCUUGCCUCUAUGGUGUCUUGCUACUCUUCCUCAGUUGUGUCUGUUAAAUGGCAUCUCUCUGUACCCUGAGGUAACAACUAAUAAUACUAGGAGUGCCUUCAAAAACAUUGAAAACUUACCUGCUGAACAAGUUGUUAAUAAUUUUAUAGACAAUAAAAUAGAUGUUAUGUUUUUUUUCUUUAUCCACAGGUUUCAAGCCCGUCUUUUAUCGUAUUUUCAUUCAUUUUCAUAUCAGCGAUUUGUAAACACUUGCAAGAGGUCAUUUCCACUGGAGGUUCAAUCUAUACAUGGAGAAAUGAGCAGAGAAUUUGGAUGAUAAAGUCUGUCACAGCUCAUUUCUAUGGAAGUAUGGAUACUAUUUUGAAACUUCUUGGCUUGAGGAAAGCCAGUUUCCUGCCAACCAACAAGGUUUUGGAUAAAGAACAAGUCAAAAGAUAUGAAAUAGGCCAAUUUGAUUUUCAAACAUCCUCUAUGUUUCUUGUUCCAAUGGUUUCUUUGAUGAUUCUGAACAUGGCAGCCUUGCUUUUUGGGUUUAUCAGAAUAAUUGCUGUGGGCAACUGGGACAAAUUAUUUGCGCAGGUGUUGCUCUCACUCUACAUCUUGAUCAUCAAUUUUGCAAUUGUUGAAGGGAUGAUAGUGAGAAAGGACAAGGGAAGGAUUUCAACAUCAGCCAUUUUAUUAUCAAGUGUAUUUUCCGUGAUUUUAUUGUUCUUUGGGUCUAUCAUUCUUAUGUAGCUAUAAGCAAAAUGUAGAGUGUUUCAUUUUAUCUUAAUUGCCACAGGCAAAGCAAAUAAAAUAAUUAAAUUUUUGUUUGGUAUUGAAGUGAGGUGCUGUAGAAAAAAAAAUUAUAAAUAUAAAAUAAAAGUUAAUAGUAUGUAAUAAAUAUAAUAUUUAAGUAAUAAUUUUGAUAAAUUUAGUAAAGAUAUAAUAAAUUUUUCAUUAUACAAGUAUAGAAUUAAUUUACUUUAGUUUUCAAGUAACAGUAAUUAUUUUUUGUCAAAUACUUUAAAAAUUACAGUUAUUCAACUUGAAUUUCAAAUAGAAUUAAAAUUUCGUUAAAAAAAUAAAAUAUUUUUGCAAUGAUAUUGAAACCUUGAAAUCUUAAACAUAACAAAGACUCGAGAGACAGUCCUAAGUGAUUCGGACAUGUCGUAUUGUUUUAUCAACAUCUACGCAAACUUUUCAACUUCGCUACUUAUUUCUCGCAGUACACGUUUACAAGAUUAAGCUCUUAAGUGAAACCUCCAUCAAUGCUCGGGCAGCAGCAGCACAAUCGCAUUUUGCUGAUACAUAGUUAAUACCUAACUAAGUAUUAACGGUCCACUACCACCAUGAAAAGAAGUUUUUACAAAUAUUUACAAGCAUGUAAAUUAAUAGUUAGAAGAUAAAUAAAAAAUUAUUUUAAAUUAUACGGCAUUCAUUAAUUGAUUGAAAAAAUAAUAAAAUUAAUUCACUUGAUUUUGUUAAGAAUUAUCAACAAUUUAUUUAGUGACAUAUUAUUGAAGAUAAAAUUUAAGAUAAAUAAUUUGAAAUUCUAUGAUUACUCUUACGAACAUAUAUAAGAUGUUUAUAUUUAAUUAUUGUAAUUGGGAAUCUCUUCAAUUAUUUAAUUAGCAAGAGAAUAAUUUAAGUCCGAACAUAAAAAUUGAAACUAAAAUAGUAUCAAAAAAAAUUUAAUGGGUUCAAAUAACUCCAUCCACUUUACUUUUUAUUUUUUAUUUUUAUUAUUUCAAGGAUAAGCAUAAUGCAUUUACUUUACCACUACCUGUACUAUUUUGGUAAAAUAUCAACUACCGUAACCAAUUUGAAGGAGAGUGAUUUGCACAGGACAGGUCAAAGUGGGAUCCUCCGUUAUUUAUUUAUUUAUAAUUUAGUUAGUCUCACUUCCCACUUUGAAACCCAUUAUUCUACGAAAUGAAAAGUUUCAUUGGAUGAGCAUAUCAUCUGAACAAGGCCUGUCUUGUACAAGUUUUUCUUACAUGUAAGCUCUGUUUGAAAGGUCAACGUACCUGAAGGCACCUCUGUCAGCAGCAGCCAGCAGCAAUCCAGUGAGUGGAAAGAUUUUUUUUUUGGAUGAGGUGAGCUUGCCGGCCAAGGAAAGCCAUAAAGUUUCCGCUCCUUAUUGACCAAGGAAAGCCAUCAGCUAGGAAGCAUCCUGUGAUUCUUAGUCAUUGUUCCAAUUAUUUAAAAGGAGAUGCUUCGAGCUUGAGAUAAAGCAAACACUUGCAACAAAGUUUAGAAAUGGAUAGCCCUCUUCCUCUCCAUGUAUGCCAUGUUAAUAAUCUUUCAGUGAUACUUAACAAGCUUCAUGCACUCUUGCACUGCAUAGCUAUAGCUUUCCUGAUCUACUAUAGAGCCUCUUAUCUCUUGCAAGAAACCAGAGCAAUAUCAAUUAUUCCAUGGCUUCUAGUCUUUGCCUCUGAGCUGCUUCUUUCUUUUAUAUGGCUCCUUGGCCGAGCUUAUCUCUGGCGUCCGGUUUCUCGGACUGUAUUCCCAGAAAGAUUGCCGGAAGAUGAUAAACUUCCGGCAAUCGAUGUGUUCAUAUGCACUGCAGAUCCAGAAAAGGAACCUACUUUUGGUGUGAUGAACACUGUGUUAUCAGCCAUGGCGCUGGAUUAUCCGGCGGACAAACUUCACGUUUAUUUAUCCGAUGAUGGGGGUUCUCCUAUAACUCUGCGUGGUAUGAGGGAAGCUUUCAGGUUUGCAAAAUGGUGGAUCCCCUUUUGUAGGAGAUAUCGAAUCAAGACAAUAUGCCCGCAGGCUUAUUUUUCUGAAGCAGAGAGUGAUGAAAAUUUUGGUGAUAGUGAGUUUGUGACAGAAAAAAGGAAGAUUAAGGUAAGAUGAAAUAAAUUUAAUUUUGUGCUAUUAUCUAAAAAUUCUUUUCGAGUGUUUUUUAUCGGCUUAUAACAAGAGUGCUGUAAGAUCUUACUUAAAUACAAUGUAAUCCGAAAGGGAAUGAGCAUAGAUAAUGCAUAAUGUGUUGCCAAUUUGGUAACAGGAAAAAUAUGAGAUGUUUGAGGAGCAAGUGAUGAAGGCUGUAGAAGAUGGAGAAUAUGGGAACAGCCGAAACCACUCGACUAUUAUUGAGGUAACUUUUUGUCAUACUCUGCCACUUACAAGUUUAAGUUACUUAAAUAACAUUCUAAUUCAAUUGGAUUCCAGCAGAUAAUACAGGACACUUCUGGUGAGAAUGAGACAAUUAGGCAAGCAGAUCUUGUUGAAAUGCCUCUGCUUGUUUAUGUUUCUCGUGAGAAAAGUCCUGAACAUCUUCAUCAUUUCAAGGGCGGAGCUCUCAAUGUUCUUGUAUGAAUCUCUAUACGCACUACCUAUAGAUUAUGCUUGUAUGUAUGGAGACUGCUCUGAUUAACAUUGUUCAAGCUUGCAGCUUCGUGUCUCUGGCGUAAUAAGCAAUUCCCCCUACAUACUGGGGCUUGACUGUGAUAUGUACUGCAAUGAUCCAACCUCAGCUAGGCAAGCAAUGUGUUUCCACCUUGACCCAAAAACCUCUUCGUCCUUGGCAUUCGUUCAGUUCCCUCAGAAAUUCCAUAAUUUCAAUGAGCAUGAUAUCUACGAUGGAUCACUGAGAUCUGGAUAUCGUGUAAGUAAAUUAAAGCCUCUCUCUGCAAUCAGCCUACGCAAAUAAAUGAGCAAAUAUAGAAGAAACUAGAUGUUGCAAUUAUGUUUCUAAAUGUUUUCUUUAUUUAUGCAUUCCACAUUCAAGUUAC